AGCAGUCGCCGCGGUAAUACCGAGGGUGCGAGCGUUAAUCGGAUUUACUGGGCGUAAAGCGUGCGUAGGCGGCUUCUUAAGUCGGAUGUGAAAUCCCUGAGCUUAACUUAGGAAUUGCAUUCGAUACUGGGAAGCUAGAGUAUGGGAGAGGAUGGUAGAAUUCCAGGUGUAGCGGUGAAAUGCGUAGAGAUCUGGAGGAAUACCGAUGGCGAAGGCAGCCAUCUGGCCUAAUACUGACGCUGAGGUACGAAAGCAUGGGGAGCAAACAGGAUUAGAUACCCGCGUAGUCCCUGUCUCUUAUAC
This 303-nucleotide ribosomal RNA is filed under the name uncultured bacterium. Its description in RNAcentral is "partial 16S ribosomal RNA". It matches the Rfam family "Bacterial small subunit ribosomal RNA", at positions 507 to 807 of the family's 1533-position model. The record is from RNAcentral.